CCGACCUUAAAAAUCACUGAAGUGUGUGUAGUGCAGUGGGUGAGUCUGUCUUUGACGUGUGUGCACUAAAGCUUUGCAGUGCUGUGCCGUGUCCCUGUUGUCUGUACUUGCCCUCCAGGCCGAGAAAGGUUCCUGUUGGAAAGAACGUAGGCUGCCGUGGCGGUGCCCACCUAUUCCACCUACGCCCGCCUAUAACUCCGUUCUCUGGACCCAGCUUGAAGGUGAAGUGCGAAAGCAAAACAAGGUAUUGUGCGGAUAUUGUGGGAAAAGCUAUUGCCCUUGAAUAUGCCCUGAAAAGCCCAGCGUGAAGAUACAGUCACUUGUUGAAUACUUACCUGUCUGUACAGAGCUAAAAGCUAUUGCCCUUGAAUACGCCCUGAAAAGCCCAGCGUGAAGAUACAGUCACUUGUUGAAUACUUGCCUGUCUGUACGAGCUAAAAGCUAUUGUCCUUGAAUACGCCCUGUAAAGCCCAGCGUGAAGAUACAGUCACUUGUUGAAUACUUACCUGUCUGUACGAGCUAAAAGCUAUUGUCCUUGAAUACGCCCUGUAAAGCCCAGCGUGAAGAUACAGUCACUUGUUGAAUACUUACCUUGCUACAUCCUUACCGUUGUUACUUACCUGUGCCCUCAGGGAUUUGUGUGUCGCCUUAUACUUACCUAGGAGGUCAAUGGGAGUGGAGGAGCUGUCCAGACGCUGGUGAAGUGCAACCCAAGGAGCAAAGAAGCUAGGAACAAGGCAUUCUUCUCCGUUUUAUCUAUUACUCAUUGUGUGUUCUGUUGCCUUCAGGAGAAGAGAAGGGC
Long non-coding RNA from Cyprinus carpio carpio, 802 nucleotides. Lineage: Eukaryota; Metazoa; Chordata; Actinopteri; Cypriniformes; Cyprinidae. The record is from Ensembl.